CGUCGCGCCCCCUCCCUCCCUUCCCGCGGGCCCCCCUAGGGCGAGGCCGGCCCGCCGCCGGCGGCGCCGGCCUCGUCGUCGUC
RNAcentral lists this microRNA precursor (83 nucleotides) under Bovine herpesvirus type 1.2 strain SP1777. Its description in RNAcentral is "miRNA Bhv-1-mir-B6-2". The record is from RNAcentral. Lineage: Duplodnaviria; Heunggongvirae; Peploviricota; Herviviricetes; Herpesvirales; Orthoherpesviridae.